UGAUGACCUACCAGAUCUUGACACAAGGGCUGCACUUUUAUUCCUGCCAUACGUCUUCAAGGAGAAACUGGAUCUCUUUGUCAUACUUGGAGAGGUUCAUCCGAAAACCCCCUAUCCAACUG
Molecule: non-coding RNA, 122 nt
Organism: Maylandia zebra (zebra mbuna)
Lineage: Eukaryota; Metazoa; Chordata; Actinopteri; Cichliformes; Cichlidae
Source: RefSeq, a predicted model, not a curated record